Molecule: ribosomal RNA, 445 nt
Filed under: uncultured bacterium
Lineage: Bacteria
Description: partial 16S ribosomal RNA
Rfam family: Bacterial small subunit ribosomal RNA
Source: RNAcentral
GUGAGGAAUAUUGCGCAAUGGAGGCAACUCUGACGCAGCCAUGCCGCGUGCAGGAAGAAGGCGCUACGCGUUGUAAACUGCUUUUAACCGGGAAGAAACCCCAGGACGUGUCCUGGGUUGACGGUACCGGAGGAAUAAGCACCGGCUAACUUCGUGCCAGCAGCUGCGGUAAUACGAAGGGUGCAAGCGUUAUCCGGAUUCAUUGGGUUUAAAGGGAGCGUUGGCGGAGCGUUAAGUCAGUGGUGAAAUCCUGCAGCUUAACUGUAGACUUGGCAUUGAUACUGGCGCUCUUGAGUGCGCUUGAAGUGGGCGGAAUGUGCCGUGUAGCGGUGAAAUGCUUAGAUAUGGCACAGAACACCAAUUGCGAAGGCAGCUCACUAAGGCGAUACUGACGCUGAGGCACGAAAGCGUGGGGAUCGAACAGGAUUAGAUACCCCUGUAGUCC